RNAcentral lists this ribosomal RNA (253 nucleotides) under uncultured prokaryote. Its description in RNAcentral is "partial 16S ribosomal RNA". It matches the Rfam family "Bacterial small subunit ribosomal RNA", at positions 524 to 776 of the family's 1533-position model. The record is from RNAcentral.
UACGUAGGUGGCAAGCGUUGUCCGGAUUUAUUGGGUUUAAAGGGAGCGUAGGCGGAUUGGUAAGUCAGUGGUGAAAUCUGUGGGCUUAACCCACAAACUGCCAUUGAUACUGCUGAUCUAGAGUACAGUUGCCGUUGGCGGAAUAUGACAUGUAGUGGUGAAAUACUUAGAUAUGUCAUAGAACACCGAUUGCGAAGGCAGCUAACGAAGCUGUAACUGACGCUGAGGCUCGAAAGUGCGGGGAUCAAACAGG